Molecule: transfer RNA, 74 nt
Filed under: Anolis lineatopus
Lineage: Eukaryota; Metazoa; Chordata; Lepidosauria; Squamata; Anolidae
Description: tRNA-Asn
Source: RNAcentral
CAAAUAGAAGCCCGCUGGUUUGGGUAGUUAGCUGUUAACUAAUUGAUCGUGGGAUCGAGGCCCGCCUAUUUAGG